RNAcentral lists this ribosomal RNA (253 nucleotides) under uncultured bacterium. RNAcentral's name for it is "partial 16S ribosomal RNA". It matches the Rfam family "Bacterial small subunit ribosomal RNA", at positions 524 to 776 of the family's 1533-position model. The record is from RNAcentral.
UACGAAGGGGGCUAGCGUUUUUCGGAAUUACUGGGCGUAAAGGGCGCGUAGGCGGCCUGACAAGUCAGGGGUGAAAGUCCUGGGCUCAACCUGGGGACUGCCUUUGAAACUGUUGGGCUUGAGACCGGGAGAGGUGAGUGGAAUUCCCAGUGUAGAGGUGAAAUUCGUAGAUAUUGGGAAGAACACCAGUGGCGAAGGCGGCUCACUGGACCGGUUCUGACGCUGAGGCGCGAAAGCGUGGGGAGCAAACAGG